AUGGGUGGAGUUAACAAACUGACUGAAUGUAUGAAAGAAAUCCAAGACUCUUUGUCAGCUUCUCUUGGAGCUUCUGCUAAUUUCAACAAGAGGAGGAACUUAAAGAAUUGGAGUCUACUUGCUGAUUUCAUAGGACUAAUUCACUGGUGCACGAUGAAUGCUCUAGCAUACACAGGUGGAUUUUCCCAUAUAAUUGUAAUAUUAAUGAAGACGUGCGUUGCACGUGCACGCUUACUAGUAGGAAGGAAGGAGAAAUUAAAGGAAGGUGCAGAGUUUCUAUGUGUGCACGUAGGUGGCUGUUGA
Molecule: ribosomal RNA, 303 nt
Filed under: Triticum aestivum (bread wheat)
Lineage: Eukaryota; Viridiplantae; Streptophyta; Magnoliopsida; Poales; Poaceae
Description: partial small subunit ribosomal RNA
Source: RNAcentral